UACAGAGGGGGCAAGCGUUAUUCGGAAUGAUUGGGCGUAAAGGGCGCGUAGGCGGCUUUGCAAGUGACGGGUGAAAUCCCUCGGCUUAACCGAGGAACUGCCUGUCAAACUGCAUGGCUUGAGUCCGGGAGAGGUGAGUGGAAUUCCCAGUGUAGCGGUGAAAUGCGUAGAUAUUGGGAGGAACACCAGUGGCGAAGGCGGCUCACUGGACCGGUACUGACGCUGAUGCGCGAAAGCGUGGGGAGCAAACAGG
RNAcentral lists this ribosomal RNA (253 nucleotides) under uncultured bacterium. RNAcentral's name for it is "partial 16S ribosomal RNA". It matches the Rfam family "Bacterial small subunit ribosomal RNA", at positions 524 to 776 of the family's 1533-position model. The record is from RNAcentral.